This 685-nucleotide ribosomal RNA is filed under the name uncultured fungus. Its description in RNAcentral is "SSU rRNA". It matches the Rfam family "Eukaryotic small subunit ribosomal RNA", at positions 419 to 1110 of the family's 1831-position model. Lineage: Eukaryota; Fungi. The record is from RNAcentral.
AGGAAGGCAGCAGGCGCGCAAAUUACCCAAUCCCGAUACGGGGAGGUAGUGACAAUAAAUACUGAUACGGGGCUCUUUUGGGUCUCGUAAUUGGAAUGAGAACAAUUUAAAUCCCUUAACGAGGAACAAUUGGAGGGCAAGUCUGGUGCCAGCAGCCGCGGUAAUUCCAGCUCCAAUAGCGUAUAUUAAAGUUGUUGCAGUUAAAAAGCUCGUAGUUGAACCUUGGGUCUGGCUGGCCGGUCCGCCUCACCGCGAGUACUGGUCCGGCUGGACCUUUCCUUCUGGGGAACCUCAUGGCCUUCACUGGCUGUGGGGGGAACCAGGACUUUUACUGUGAAAAAAUUAGAGUGUUCAAAGCAGGCCUUUGCUCGAAUACAUUAGCAUGGAAUAAUAGAAUAGGACGUGCGGUUCUAUUUUGUUGGUUUCUAGGACCGCCGUAAUGAUUAAUAGGGAUAGUCGGGGGCGUCAGUAUUCAGCUGUCAGAGGUGAAAUUCUUGGAUUUGCUGAAGACUAACUACUGCGAAAGCAUUCGCCAAGGAUGUUUUCAUUAAUCAGGGAACGAAAGUUAGGGGAUCGAAGACGAUCAGAUACCGUCGUAGUCUUAACCAUAAACUAUGCCGACUAGGGAUCGGACGGGCUUCUAUGAUGACCCGUUCGGCACCUUACGAGAAAUCAAAGUUUUUGG